GCCGUGAUCGUCUAGUGGUUAGGACAUUGCCAUUGCGUUGUGGCCGCAAUAACCCAGGUUCGAGUCCUGGUCACGGCA
Schistocerca gregaria is the source of this 78-nucleotide non-coding RNA. The record is from the annotation of a RefSeq genome assembly. NCBI's taxonomy places the organism in Eukaryota, Metazoa, Arthropoda, Insecta, Orthoptera, Acrididae.